GCAAACUUGGUCAUUUAGAGGAAGUAAAAGUCAUAACAAGGUUUCCGUAGGUGAACCUGCGGAAGGAUCAUUACAGUGUUUUGUUGUGGCCUGCCCUCCCGAGGGCAGUGCCCCGAAACCCCACCCUUGAUUACUGUACCGUCCGUUGCUUCGGCGGGCCGCGCCCGCCGGAGGACAAUCUGAACUCUUUGUGAUAUUCGGCCGUCUGAGUGAUUUUUGAAUCGUUAAAACUUUCAACAAUGGAUCUCUUGGUUCCGGCAUCGAUGAAGAACGCAGC
Molecule: unclassified non-coding RNA, 277 nt
Filed under: uncultured fungus
Lineage: Eukaryota; Fungi
Description: partial contains small subunit ribosomal RNA, internal transcribed spacer 1, and 5.8S ribosomal RNA
Rfam family: Eukaryotic small subunit ribosomal RNA (bases 1-73)
Source: RNAcentral